RNAcentral lists this ribosomal RNA (530 nucleotides) under Cladosporium sp. SF153. RNAcentral's name for it is "eukaryotic LSU rRNA". The stretch from base 165 to 318 matches the Rfam family "5.8S ribosomal RNA". Lineage: Eukaryota; Fungi; Ascomycota; Dothideomycetes; Cladosporiales; Cladosporiaceae. The record is from RNAcentral.
AGGGAAGUUAAGUGACCCCGUGUCUACCACCGGGAUGUUCAUAACCCUUUGUUGUCCGACUCUGUUGCCUCCGGGGCGACCCUGCCUUCGGGCGGGGGCUCCGGGUGGACACUUCAAACUCUUGCGUAACUUUGCAGUCUGAGUAAACUUAAUCAAUAAAUUAAAACUUUUAACAACGGAUCUCUUGGUUCUGGCAUCGAUGAAAAACGCAGCGAAAUGCGAUAAGUAAUGUGAAUUGCAGAAUUCAGUGAAUCAUCGAAUCUUUGAACGCACAUUGCGCCCCCUGGUAUUCCGGGGGGCAUGCCUGUUCGAGCGUCAUUUCACCACUCAAGCCUCGCUUGGUAUUGGGCAUCGCGGUCCGCCGCGUGCCUCAAAUCGACCGGCUGGGUCUUCUGUCCCCUAAGCGUUGUGGAAACUAUUCGCUAAAGGGUGUUCGGGAGGCUACGCCGUAAAACAACCCCAUUUCUAAGGUUGACCUCGGAUCAGGUAGGGAUACCCGCUGAACUUAAGCAUAUCAAUAAGCGGAGGAA